Molecule: non-coding RNA, 76 nt
Organism: Podarcis lilfordi (Lilford's wall lizard)
Lineage: Eukaryota; Metazoa; Chordata; Lepidosauria; Squamata; Lacertidae
Source: the annotation of a GenBank genome assembly
ACUCUUGAGUUAGCUCAGUCGGUAGAGCAUGAGAUUCUUAAUCUCAGGGUCAUGGGUUUGAGCCUCAUGCUGGGCA